CAGCAAACUAGCUUGACGAAGCGAAAAGCGGAACUGUGACCGCCUGUUUGCUGAUUUGUUGUUCACAG
RNAcentral lists this non-coding RNA (68 nucleotides) under unclassified sequences. RNAcentral describes it as "int-alpA RNA". It matches the Rfam family "int-alpA RNA". From Rfam's summary of the family: Acidobacteria (1 example), Planctomycetes (1 example), Proteobacteria. The record is from Rfam by way of RNAcentral.